CAUUCUUCAAACCCUCAAGGAACCCCCACACUUAACCAGCCUUACUAGGGCAGAGAAAAUAAAAGGACACUUCCAGCCUGUGUGGAACACAGGCUUGAACAUGUGGGGCUGGGCUGGCAAGUAUUAAAGGGUAAUGGUGUGUGAGACCUGCUGUGGUUGAGUAACACACAAGGUCUUUGGGAGUCGGGAAAAGCACAACUUGGGUUAGGUGGUGUCUAAGGAGGGAGGUUGAAAAGAUAGUCUGGGAUCAUAUUGGAGAGUAACUUCCAAUGUUCUGUAUUUCCAUGCUUCAGAUGAGUGCCUCUUGAUGGAGGAAGAGAAGGUAUUGGGCCAGAAACAAUGGUGUGAGAAGCUCAUCAACACUCUGGAUCAGAGGAGAAGCACGUAAAGAAGAAAGAAGUUUCGGUAUCAAGAGAUCUCCAUAAAAACCAUGGAGUUAAUUGAUUUACGUUGCCCCUUCUGGCACCAGUCAGUAGGCCUACUUGGCUCUGUCUAGGUCCACUGGAGCUGCCCUAUUAAAGUUCAGAAUUCUGUUUAUUUGUCAACUUGUCUUUGAGUCAUCAACUCUUUGGUAAUCGGGACUCUGGGUACUAAAUUUAAAAAUAAAAUAAAGGACUGUACUAAACCUCA
This is a long non-coding RNA of Lynx canadensis (Canada lynx), 630 nucleotides long. RefSeq lists it as uncharacterized. The record is from RefSeq and is a predicted model, not a curated record. The transcript has 2 exons. Lineage: Eukaryota; Metazoa; Chordata; Mammalia; Carnivora; Felidae.